Molecule: ribosomal RNA, 483 nt
Filed under: uncultured bacterium
Lineage: Bacteria
Description: bacterial SSU rRNA
Rfam family: Bacterial small subunit ribosomal RNA
Source: RNAcentral
AACUAACGCUGGCGGCGUGCCUAACACAUGCAAGUCGUACGAGAAAGCCGGCUUCGGCUGGUGAGUAAAGUGGCGCACGGGUGAGUAACGCGUGGAUAAUCUGCCCUUAAGUGUGGAAUAACGUACCGAAAGGUGCGCUAAUACCGCAUAAUGCCUGGCAACACAAGUUGUCCGGCCAAAGAAGGCCUCUGUUUACAAGCUUUCGCUUCAGGAUGAGUCCGCGUACCAUUAGCUUGUUGGCGGGGUAAUGGCCUACCAAGGCUGCGAUGGUUAGCUGGUCUGAGAGGAUGAUCAGCCACACUGGAACUGAGACACGGUCCAGACUCCUACGGGAGGCAGCAGUGAGGAAUAUUGCGCAAUGGGGGCAACCCUGACGCAGCAACGCCGCGUGAGUGAGGAAGGUUUUCGGACUGUAAAGCUCUGUCGAGCGGGAAGAAGUGUACCAUGGCUAAUAUCCAUGAUAUUUGACGGUACCGCUAGAGG